Molecule: ribosomal RNA, 497 nt
Filed under: uncultured bacterium
Lineage: Bacteria
Description: partial 16S ribosomal RNA
Rfam family: Bacterial small subunit ribosomal RNA
Source: RNAcentral
GACGAACGCUGGCGGCGUGCCUAAUACAUGCAAGUUGAGCGCUGAAGGUUGGUACUUGUACCAACUGGAUGAGCAGCGAACGGGUGAGUAACGCGUGGGGAAUCUGCCUUUGAGCGGGGGACAACAUUUGGAAACGAAUGCUAAUACCGCAUAAAAACUUUAAACACAAGUUUUAAGUUUGAAAGAUGCAAUUGCAUCACUCAAAGAUGAUCCCGCGUUGUUUUAGCUAGUUGGUGAGGUAAAGGCUCACCAAGGCGAUGAUACAUAGCCGACCUGAGAGGGUGAUCGGCCACAUUGGGACUGAGACACGGCCCAAACUCCUACGGGAGGCAGCAGUAGGGAAUCUUCGGCAAUGGACGAAAGUCUGACCGAGCAACGCCGCGUGAGUGAAGAAGGUUUUCGGAUCGUAAAACUCUGUUGGUAGAGAAGAACGUUGGUGAGAGUGGAAAGCUCAUCAAGUGACGGUAACUACCCAGAAAGGGACGGCUAACUACGUG